Pelobates cultripes (western spadefoot toad) is the source of this 300-nucleotide non-coding RNA. The record is from the annotation of a GenBank genome assembly. Lineage: Eukaryota; Metazoa; Chordata; Amphibia; Anura; Pelobatidae.
AGCCAUAUAAACCUUAACAGUAAACAGGAAAAUCACCUUCUUAACAGGGGAUUUUCAGCCUCUUGAAAAUUCCCAUAGGAAACCAUUGAUUCAAUACUUUCCUAUGGGGAAGGCCUAACGUGUGCAGCACUCGCCGCCCAUGUGCAUUAGGUUCCUCCUCUUGCUGAAGUCGGAAGAGGUGGAGACGGAACCAGCAUCGAGGGACGUUGGCACUGGAACCAGGUUAGUUCCAAACAUACCAAGUAUGCAGUUAUAUUACAGAUCCUUGAUUGUGGCACAAGGCUUAAUUUUGUAAUGGCA